RNAcentral lists this ribosomal RNA (573 nucleotides) under Kohlmeyeriella crassa. RNAcentral's name for it is "eukaryotic LSU rRNA". It matches the Rfam family "Eukaryotic large subunit ribosomal RNA", at positions 62 to 623 of the family's 3401-position model. The record is from RNAcentral. Lineage: Eukaryota; Fungi; Ascomycota; Sordariomycetes; Lulworthiales; Lulworthiaceae.
AAACCAACAGGGAUUGCCUCAGUAACGGCGAGUGAAGCGGCAACAGCCCAAAUUUGAAAUCUGGCUUUCGGGCCCGAGUUGUAAUUUGGAGAGGGAUGCCUAUGGUAAAGCGGCUGGCAUAGUCCCCUGGAACGGGGUGCCAUAGAGGGUGAGAGCCCCGUAUGUCCGGCUGCAGCGCCUAUGCUAGGCUUCCUCAAAGAGUCGAGUAGUUUGGGAAUGCUGCUCUAAGUGGGAGGUAUAUUCCUUCUAAGGCUAAAUAUCUGCCAGAGACCGAUAGCGCACAAGUAGAGUGAUCGAAAGGUGAAAAGCACUUUGGAAAGAGGGUUAAACAGUACGUGAAAUUGCUGAAAGGGAAGCGCCUCCGGCCAGAACUUGGGGCUAUUGGAUCAUCAAGUUGGUCCUCUCUUAGGGGGGACUACUUGUGCACUUCAUUAGCUCUGGGCCAGCAUCGGCUCGGGUUAUUUACUGGGGGGAUAAAAAUAGUGGGAAAAGUAGCUCCCCCUUUCGGGGGAGUGUUAUAGUCCCCUAUAAAAUACCCCCAGCCGGGCCGAGGACCGCGCGGAAACGCAAGGA